RNAcentral lists this ribosomal RNA (433 nucleotides) under uncultured bacterium. Its description in RNAcentral is "partial 16S ribosomal RNA". It matches the Rfam family "Bacterial small subunit ribosomal RNA", at positions 29 to 507 of the family's 1533-position model. The record is from RNAcentral.
AACGAACGCUGGCGGCAUGCCUAACACAUGCAAGUCGAACGAGACCUUCGGGUCUAGUGGCGCACGGGUUCGUAACGCGUGGGAACCUGCCCUUAGGUUCGGAAUAACUCCCCGAAAGGGGUGCUAAUACCAGAUCAUGUCUUCGGACCAAAGAUUUAUCGCCUUUGGAUGUGCCCGCGUUGGAUUAGCUAGUUGGUAGGGUAAAAGCCUACCAAGGCGACGAUCCAUAGCUGGUCUGAGAGGAUGAUCAGCCACACUGGGACUGAGACACGGCCCAGACUCCUACGGGAGGCAGCAGUGGGGAAUAUUGGACAAUGGGCGAAAGCCUGAUCCAGCAAUGCCGCGUGAGUGAUGAAGGCCUUAGGGUUGUAAAGCUCUUUUAACCGGGAUGAUAAUGACAGUACCGGGAGAAUAAGCUCCGGCUAACUCCGUG